UAUUAGAGUCACAGAGAGAACUCUCUCUCGAAAACAAACCCUAAUACCGUCACCGUUACCCUAUCUCCCACCGACGAAACUCUCUGUCGACACCUUGAAGCCCGAUUUCGUGCUCUGUAACUCAAACUCAGUUGAAAAGAGGAGGAUGACCUGAAGUUGUGAACGGAUCCAAGCUCAGUUGAAUCAGACGAGGAAAAAACCCGACUCUCCACCAUCCGCGAACACAGUUCCGGCGGAGUAAGACUGAGGAAUAGGACGACGGCGGUGAAGAUAUAGAUUGUGGUUGAGUAUGUUCCAGAGCAGCCCGAGUUUGAAGAUGGUUUUAACGUUGAGUUCAAGCAAAUCUUUGAGAAGGUUAACUUCAGGGAACCUGUCUGAUUAUCUCCGUCUAAGAGACAGUUUUAGUAUCGUGGUUGAAGUUUAUAAGUUAAAUGAAGAAGUUUUACGGUUGGAGCAGAUGGUAUCUUAAUGGAGGCUUGUCAGAAUUUGAAUAUACUCCUUCUCUUUCUGCUUGCGAGGUUUUGAGAUGCAUCGCUUUGUGUUAAGAGAAGAUCUACACAUCAGAUCCAGACUCUCUGAUUCAUCAUCUGCAAUGGCUCUUGGGUUACUUCAGAUCCUGGUUAUCAAGAAGAAUAUUCAUGAUCGUUCUAUCAUUUUACCCGUGGUGUACAUGAUACUGCUCAUUGGACACCAAACUCUGGAGACAAGACCCUUCAAUACGAUGAAGAGAAAAUGCAGAAACGGUUGGAAUCAUGUUCCUCUAGCACAAGCGCAGUGACUGGUGAAAUGGCUUUACAUUUGGUAAAUGGCACAGACUUAUGUGAUUUGUAUUUCAGAAUCCCGAUCAGAUGCUUCUUGGUCCCAAUGACUGUGUGGAAAAUGGUACCCCUUCUAAAGAUUUUAGUCGGUGUACUGAAUCCAAACCAGCGGAAUUGUCUGUGUAAAAACCUUAAGAAUUUUUGUAUUUCUGAAUCCUAAUCAUCAGGUUUAUCUUUCUUCCUCUCAUCUAUUUUGGUUUUAUGUUAAAAAAGGAUCAUAUACUUUAUGAACAUAAGCAAAAUUUGUUUUUGUCCCCACUGCUAAGACAGAUCAGUUAACCAGAGUCUGGUUAUCCUUUCCUCUCUGCCUUGCAUAACGGGAGCCUAAUUCCAGCUAUCUUGCAGCGUUCUGACCUUUAUUGGAUUCACGGCUCUAGCUAUAGAAGAUUUGUCUAAUUCGAUAUGAAUGUGUUGUUCGUGUGUAUUUAGCUCUUUAGUUCUUGCUGAUUCCAGUUGCAGGUAGGUAUGAAGUGAAUGUGGGUGAUUCAUUAUUAAUUCAAAAGCUCAGACAGGUGAACCCUUUUGAUUGUUUUUUACAGCUUCUUGGAUUACAACUUGGGAUAUUAUUAAAGUGCAUCCACUACGCUUUCUCUGAGAGAUACAUGCUAAGGCCAAUAAGGAAAAUAGGAGCUCAAGGUUUUGAUUUAGUUCCCAUGUUUUCUUGUCUUUUUUAUAUUUAGUUCUGAUAUUGUAACGAUGUUUGUGUAAGAUUUGAUGAAAAUGUUUACAUGUUUGUGGUGCUGAUAUAAAAGUACAUUUUGGUU
Long non-coding RNA from Brassica oleracea var. oleracea, 1582 nucleotides. RefSeq lists it as uncharacterized. The transcript has 8 exons. The record is from RefSeq and is a predicted model, not a curated record. NCBI's taxonomy places the organism in Eukaryota, Viridiplantae, Streptophyta, Magnoliopsida, Brassicales, Brassicaceae.